AUGCCUUGUGCUCGAGCUUGCUGGCGAUCAUUAACAAGUUUUCUCUGCCAUGACCCCUUCAACCUGGAGACUGCCAAGAAAUUUGCACCGGCUGCUAUUGUCUUCUACCUCGCCAUAUUUACAAACACAAACCUCCUUGUUCAUGCCAAUGUGGACACGUUCAUCGUUUUCAGAUCCUUGACUCCGCUUUUGGUUGCUAUUGCUGACACAACCUUCCGGAAGCAACCAUGCCCUUCCAAGCUCACAUUUUCAUCCCUUGUUAUCAUAUUGGGAGGAGCGGUUGGCUAUGUGAUAACAGAUUCUGCAUUCAGCCUCACAGCAUACUCUUGGGCGCUUGCCUAUCUGGUGACAAUAACAGCUGAGAUGGUGUACAUCAAGCAUAUUGUGACGAAUCUGGGUCUAAACACAUGGGGUUUUGUGCUGUAUAACAACCUUCUUUCCUUGAUGAUAUCCCCCAUCUUUUGGUUUUUGACAGGGGAGCACAAGUUGGUCUUCUCAGCAGUCGAAUCACGGGUUGAGGGUUGGUUCCAGCUUGAUGCCUUUGUCGCGGUGGCAUUGUCAUGCUUGUUUGGGUUACUCAUCAGCUUCUUUGGCUUUGCGGCUAGGAAAGCAAUCUCAGCCACGGCAUUCACGGUGACUGGGGUUGUGAACAAGUUCCUCACAGUGGCAAUCAAUGUGACAAUCUGGGACAAGCACGCCAGUGCAUUUGGUUUGGUUAGCCUGCUAUUCACUCUUGCUGGUGGAGUACUCUAUCAGCAAUCAGUUACUGCAAAAGGAAAUAUUGCAUCAGCUCAGCGUGAAACGGCAUCGGAGGAACUUAAGGACGAAAGUGACAGUGCUGAGUAUGAUGAGGAGAAACAGAAGCUUAUUUCAUCUUGA
Molecule: ribosomal RNA, 879 nt
Filed under: Triticum aestivum (bread wheat)
Lineage: Eukaryota; Viridiplantae; Streptophyta; Magnoliopsida; Poales; Poaceae
Description: partial small subunit ribosomal RNA
Source: RNAcentral